AAUGAACGCUGGCGGCGUGCCUAACACAUGCAAGUCGAGCGAGAAAGCUCCUUCGGGAGUGAGUAAAGCGGCGAACGGUUGAGUAACACGUGAGAAUUUACCCUUUAGUGAGGAAUACCCUCGAGAAAUCGAGGUUAAUACUGCAUACGUCCCUUCGGGGAGAAAGGUGGCCUCUUUGCUGCCGCUGAAGGAUAAGCUUGCGGGCUAUCAGUUUGUUGGUGAGGUAAUGGCUCACCAAGACGAUGACGGCUAGCCGGCCUGAGAGGGUGUACGGCCAGACUGGAACUUAGAUACGGUCCAGACUCCUACGGGAGGCAGCAGUGGGGAAUAUUGCGCAAUGGGCGAAAGCCUGACGCAGCGACGCCGCGUGGGGAUGAAGGUCUUAGGA
This 388-nucleotide ribosomal RNA is filed under the name uncultured bacterium. Its description in RNAcentral is "bacterial SSU rRNA". It matches the Rfam family "Bacterial small subunit ribosomal RNA", at positions 29 to 422 of the family's 1533-position model. The record is from RNAcentral.